RNAcentral lists this ribosomal RNA (253 nucleotides) under uncultured bacterium. RNAcentral's name for it is "partial 16S ribosomal RNA". It matches the Rfam family "Archaeal small subunit ribosomal RNA", at positions 474 to 727 of the family's 1478-position model. The record is from RNAcentral.
UACCCGCAGCUCAAGUGGUGGUCAUUAUUAUUGGGCCUAAAGCGUCCGUAGCAGGCUUGUUAGAUGCCUGGGUAAAUCGAUGCGCUUAACGCUUCGAAUUCCGGGUAGACCGGCAAGCUCGAGACCGGGAGAGGCGUGAGCUACUCGAGGGGUAGGGGUAAAAUCCUGUAAUCCUUCGGGGAGGACCAGUGGCGAAGGCGUCACGCUAGAACGGCUCUGACUGUGAGGGACGAAGCCCUGGGGCGCAAACCGG